UGGGGAAUAUUGCACAAUGGAGGGAACUCUGAUGCAGCGACGCCGCGUGAACGAAGAAGGCUUUCGAGUCGUAAAGCUCUUUUAUAUGGGAAGAUAAUGACGGUACCAUAAGAAAAAGCCCCGGCUAACUACGUGCCAGCAGCCGCGGUAAUACGUAGGGGGCUAGCGUUGUCCGGAAUCACUGGGCGUAAAGGGUUCGCAGGCGGAAAUGCAAGUCAGGUGUAAAAGGCAGUAGCUUAACUACUGUAAGCAUUUGAAACUGCAUAUCUUGAGAAGAGUAGAGGUAAGUGGAAUUUUUAGUGUAGCGGUGAAAUGCGUAGAUAUUAAAAAGAAUACCGGUGACGAAGGCGACUUACUGGGCUCAUUCUGACGCUGAGGAACGAAAGCGUGGGUAGCAAACAGG
This 403-nucleotide ribosomal RNA is filed under the name Fusobacteriota bacterium. RNAcentral describes it as "Fusobacteria bacterium partial 16S ribosomal RNA". It matches the Rfam family "Bacterial small subunit ribosomal RNA", at positions 355 to 776 of the family's 1533-position model. The record is from RNAcentral. Lineage: Bacteria; Fusobacteriati; Fusobacteriota.